RNAcentral lists this ribosomal RNA (555 nucleotides) under uncultured Pseudomonas sp. HD-2000/16. Its description in RNAcentral is "bacterial SSU rRNA". It matches the Rfam family "Bacterial small subunit ribosomal RNA", at positions 31 to 582 of the family's 1533-position model. The record is from RNAcentral. Lineage: Bacteria; Pseudomonadati; Pseudomonadota; Gammaproteobacteria; Pseudomonadales; Pseudomonadaceae.
GAACGCUGGCGGCAGGCCUAACACAUGCAAGUCGAGCGGUAGAGAGGAGCUUGCUUCUCUUGAGAGCGGCGGACGGGUGAGUAAUGCCUAGGAAUCUGCCUAGUGGUGGGGGAUAACGUUCGGAAACGGACGCUAAUACCGCAUACGUCCUACGGGAGAAAGCGGGGGAUCUUCGGACCUCGCGCCAUUAGAUGAGCCUAGGUCGGAUUAGCUAGUUGGUGAGGUAAUGGCUCACCAAGGCGACGAUCCGUAACUGGUCUGAGAGGAUGAUCAGUCACACUGGAACUGAGACACGGUCCAGACUCCUACGGGAGGCAGCAGUGGGGAAUAUUGGACAAUGGGCGAAAGCCUGAUCCAGCCAUGCCGCGUGUGUGAAGAAGGUCUUCGGAUUGUAAAGCACUUUAAGUUGGGAGGAAGGGUUGUAGAUUAAUACUCUGCAAUUUUGACGUUACCGACAGAAUAAGCACCGGCUAACUUCGUGCCAGCAGCCGCGGUAAUACGAAGGGUGCAAGCGUUAAUCGGAAUUACUGGCGUAAAGCGCGCGUAGGUGGUUCG